ACUAACUGCUGUACCAAGUUUGUCCUCCUGUUCUCACCGUAGCUCCUCUCCUAUCGGUCACGCCCUCCAGUUAGCUUGCAGGUGGCUAUGUACUCAUUAGCGUCAAUGGCACUUUCUAUAAGACCGGCACUGGAGGUGGGCUAGUAAGUGAUCCCUAGGCUCCGUACGUCCUCCCUACACUGUGUUCGCUGUGCUGUCACCUAUGAAAGGUAUUUGGCUGUGUACCAGACGCUUCCGGGUAGUGUUUUGUUGAUCUUCCGAAGGUAUUUACAAGCACUCUAAACCGUAGAUGAUUGAACUGUAUGGUCGGUCCUUUUGUAAAUGCCUUUACGCACAUUCACAGCAUUGUCUUUAACGUAGGUCUUGACUGAAAAGACUCCGUGUACGCGCAGGUUGCACUGUCUAUUGGGAGAUGCGUUAAGGUUUGCGUACUGGAGAGAUACCAGGGAGUCCCAUUUCCAUUCAUGUUGAGUGGUGUAUUCCUAGAGGUAAAAGGAAACCUUGUUGUAUUGUAUCUGUAUUGGUUUAGGCUGUAUUUACCAUAAACAAUGGAUUUUAACUGUGUUUGUUUACUCCUUUAGAAAGAUUGCCACUGCUGCUUUGCCUCCUGUAGAUUUAAGUAAUUGUAGCUCUUGCCUCAUUUUGUUUUCUUUAUUUUGUUUUGUUUGUCCGAUUGAUUUGGCCUAAACAUAGGCGUGGCUGGUUUCAUUUAUCUGCCCUCCGUCGUGGUGUGUCGGCAACAGGUGUGGUAUUGGCUGCCCCAGUAUUUUGCUGUGGUAAUGUGUGAUGGUAGUAAUGCUAACAUCUAGCUUUCUUGACCCAGCCAGUUAUUGCCAAUAGCAACCAUAUCUUCCCUUCUCCCCUCCAGAGAAACCGAGUGUUGCAGCUGUUCCGCGGGGCAGGUCGCCGGAUCUGAGUCCUCCUCUUCGUGUACUUCACACAGUAUUUGUAGUGGUAACGUGCACCUCACUAUUUGCAGUGAUCACUCUUUGUAGUACCUGUGCCUAUGCGAGCGCGUGUGUGUGUGUGUGUGUGUGUGUCUGUGGAUAGGCAACAGAAUCCGCAGCACGGGUGGUGUGUCGGUCUCACUCCUCUUCCAGGACAGGUAACCUCUCCCGAACAGCUGAUCAAAUUAACCCUACUUGAUUACAUGUAAUAUUCCUGGUGGCAGCCACUACCUUCCUCUUGCUGGCCUAUUGGGCCUAAUAUGUACUGCACUCCAUCCUGAGAAUCAAACCCAAGAUUGACUUUUUACUGAAUUGCUUGUGAAUAAAUAUUGUUUAUUUUUUCAUUGAAA
Molecule: long non-coding RNA, 1297 nt
Organism: Alosa alosa (allis shad)
Lineage: Eukaryota; Metazoa; Chordata; Actinopteri; Clupeiformes; Clupeidae
Exons: 3
Source: RefSeq, a predicted model, not a curated record